This 490-nucleotide ribosomal RNA is filed under the name uncultured bacterium. RNAcentral describes it as "partial 16S ribosomal RNA". It matches the Rfam family "Bacterial small subunit ribosomal RNA", at positions 30 to 507 of the family's 1533-position model. The record is from RNAcentral.
AUUGAACGCUGGCGGCAGGCCUAACACAUGCAAGUCGAACGGUAACAGGAAGCAGCUUGCUGCUUUGCUGACGAGUGGCGGACGGGUGAGUAAUGUCUGGGAAACUGCCCGAUGGAGGGGGAUAACUACUGGAAACGGUAGCUAAUACCGCAUAACGUCGCAAGACCAAAGAGGGGGACCUUAGGGCCUCUUGCCAUCGGAUGUGCCCAGAUGGGAUUAGCUAGUAGGUGGGGUAACGGCUCACCUAGGCGACGAUUCCUAGCUGGUCUGAGAGGAUGACCAGCCACACUGGAACUGAGACACGGUCCAGACUCCUACGGGAGGCAGCAGUGGGGAAUAUUGCACAAUGGGCGCAAGCCUGAUGCAGCCAUGCCGCGUGUAUGAAGAAGGCCUUCGGGUUGUAAAGUACUUUCAGCGGGGAGGAAGGGAGUAAAGUUAAUACCUUUGCUCAUUGACGUUACCCGCAGAAGAAGCACCGGCUAACUCCGUG